This 663-nucleotide ribosomal RNA is filed under the name uncultured bacterium. Its description in RNAcentral is "bacterial SSU rRNA". It matches the Rfam family "Bacterial small subunit ribosomal RNA", at positions 8 to 667 of the family's 1533-position model. The record is from RNAcentral.
AGAGUUUGAUCCUGGCUCAGGAUGAACGCUAGCGGCAGGCUUAACACAUGCAAGUCGAACGGUAAGGCUCACUUCGGUGAGUACACGAGUGGCGCACGGGUGCGUAACGCGUAUGCAACCUACCUUUAACAGAAGGAUAGCCCUGAGAAAUCGGGAUUAAUACUUCAUAACAUCAUAUUUCAGCAUUGAAUAAUGAUUAAAGCUCCGGCGGUUAAAGAUGGGCAUGCGUAACAUUAGCUAGUUGGUAAGGUAACGGCUUACCAAGGCAACGAUGUUUAGGGGUUCUGAGAGGAUAAUCCCCCACACUGGUACUGAGACACGGACCAGACUCCUACGGGAGGCAGCAGUGAGGAAUAUUGGGCAAUGGACGCAAGUCUGACCCAGCCAUGCCGCGUGCAGGAAUGACGGCCCUAUGGGUUGUAAACUGCUUUUAUAUAGGAAGAAACUUUCUCACGAGUGGGGAACUGACGGUACUAUAUGAAUAAGCAUCGGCUAACUCCGUGCCAGCAGCCGCGGUAAUACGGAGGAUGCAAGCGUUAUCCGGAUUUAUUGGGUUUAAAGGGUGCGCAGGCGGGCCAAUAAGUCAGUGGUGAAAUCUCUCGGCUCAACCGAGAAACUGCCAUUGAAACUGUAGGUCUAGAGUACAGAUGGGGUAGGCGGAAU